This 342-nucleotide long non-coding RNA is filed under the name Musa acuminata (dwarf banana). RNAcentral's name for it is "long non-coding RNA (MACU_LNC003148)". Lineage: Eukaryota; Viridiplantae; Streptophyta; Magnoliopsida; Zingiberales; Musaceae. The record is from RNAcentral.
ACGGGAAAGGACUAAUUACAACACUGGUAACACCCGUCUCUCUCUCUCUCCUCCACCCUCUAGACGCCAUAAUUAUCUCCAUAACCAUCGGGAAUCACCAAACAUAUCCCUACUUCUGAAGCUUUCUUGUAGUCACUGGGCCUCCACGGUGGGGGCGCGGGAGGUGUUCACGCGCGGCGGCGGAGGGAUAGAGGUGGGGGAGGCGGGGGUGUGGCUGUGGGAACUCGUCCUGUGGAGACGGCACUUGAAGGAACCCGCGUGGGUGGUCGGAGCGCACACGCACUUCGGGACGGCCCCCUGGCCGCAGGCGGAUGAGUUGGAGGACCAAGUCCUCCGAACUCC